AAAGUGGAGCAAUCCAUGAGUAGAGUGGCAAACGGGUGAGUAACGCGUGGGUGACCUGCCUUCGAGUGGGGGAUAACGCUCCGAAAGGGACGCUAAUACCGCAUAACAUCCUGCCUUUUAAGAGGUGGAGAUCAAAGCCUGGGACCGCAAGGCCAGGCGCUGGAAGAGGGGCCCGCGUCUGAUUAGCUAGUUGGUGGGGUAAUGGCUCACCAAGGCUUCGAUCAGUAUCCGGCCUGAGAGGGCGGACGGACACACUGGGACUGAGACACGGCCCAGACUCCUACGGGAGGCAGCAGUGGGGAAUUGUUCGCAAUGGGCGCAAGCCUGACGACGCAACGCCGCGUGGAGGAUGAAGACCUUCGGGUCGUAAACUCCUUUCGAUCGAGACGAACGGCCCCUGGGUGAAUAGUCCAGGGGAGUGACGGUACCGAGAGAAGAAGCCCCGGCUAACUCCGUGCCAGCAGCCGCGGUAAUACGGGGGGGGCAAGCGUUGUUCGGAAUUACUGGGCGUAAAGGGCUCGUAGGUGGCCAACUAAGUCAGACGUGAAAUCCCUCGGCUUAACCGGGGAACUGCGUCUGAUACUGGAUGGCUUGAGUUUGGGAGAGGGACGCGGAAUUCCAGGUGUAGCGGUGAAAUGCGUAGAUAUCUGGAGGAACACCGGUGGCGAAGGCGGCGUCCUGGACCAACACUGACACUGAUGAGCGAAAGCCAGGGGAGCAAACGGGAUUAGAUACCCCGGUAGUCCUGGCCCUAAACGAUGAAUGCUUGGUGUGGCGGGUAUCGAUCCCUGCCGUGCCGAAGCUAACGCA
Molecule: ribosomal RNA, 810 nt
Filed under: uncultured Pseudomonadota bacterium
Lineage: Bacteria; Pseudomonadati; Pseudomonadota
Description: bacterial SSU rRNA
Rfam family: Bacterial small subunit ribosomal RNA
Source: RNAcentral